UAGAAAUGUAAUUAAAUAGACUAAAUAAUUAAUAGUUAAGUUCUUUAAAGUUAAAAGAAAUGGCGGUAUUUUAGUCUUUUCAGAGGAAUCUGCCCUUUAAUUGAUACUCCACGAUAAAAAAUACUUUUUUAAAUAAUUUACAUAUCAUUGUUAAAAAUAUUUUUAUUGAAUUUAAUAUUUAAGAAUUAUAAUUUUAAAAUAAAUCAGAUCAAGGUGUAGUUUAUAAAGAAGUUUGAGGUGGAUUACAUUUAAUUUAUUAAUGAAUUAAUAAAUUUUAAGUUUUUAUGAAAUUGGAUUUGAAAGUAAUUAUGUUUUUAUUUAAUAUAAUGAUUAAGCUCUAAAAUAUGU
Molecule: ribosomal RNA, 348 nt
Filed under: Brachiacantha sp. CO725
Lineage: Eukaryota; Metazoa; Arthropoda; Insecta; Coleoptera; Coccinellidae
Description: partial 12S ribosomal RNA
Source: RNAcentral